RNAcentral lists this ribosomal RNA (431 nucleotides) under uncultured bacterium. RNAcentral describes it as "bacterial SSU rRNA". It matches the Rfam family "Bacterial small subunit ribosomal RNA", at positions 958 to 1392 of the family's 1533-position model. The record is from RNAcentral.
AACGCGAAGAACCUUACCAGGGCUUGACAUCCAACUAACGAAGCAGAGAUGCAUUAGGUGCCCUUCGGGGAAAGUUGAGACAGGUGGUGCAUGGUUGUCGUCAGCUCGUGUCGUGAGAUGUUGGGUUAAGUCCCGCAACGAGCGCAGCCCCUAUUGUUAGUUGCUACGCAAGAGCACUCUAGCGAGACUGCCGUUGACAAAACGGAGGAAGGUGGGGACGACGUCAAAUCAUCAUGCCCCUUAUGUCCUGGGCUACACACGUAAUACAAUGGCGUUUAACAGAGGGAAGCAAGACCGCGAGGUGGAGCAAAUCCCUAAAAGACGUCUCAGUUCAGAUUGCAGGCUGCAACUCGCCUGUAUGAAGUCGGAAUUGCUAGUAAUCGCGGAUCAGCAUGCCGCGGUGAAUACGUUCCCGGGCCUUGUACACACCG